This is a long non-coding RNA of Daucus carota subsp. sativus, 2045 nucleotides long. RefSeq lists it as uncharacterized. Lineage: Eukaryota; Viridiplantae; Streptophyta; Magnoliopsida; Apiales; Apiaceae. The record is from RefSeq and is a predicted model, not a curated record. The transcript is spliced from 2 exons.
GCAUUUCGUUGUGGUGGAUAUUAUGCGUGCAUUAAAGAAGCCAAGGCCGAGCACGAUUGGAUAGCCCAAGUUGUGGGCUCAUCCGAAAAGUAUUAAAACAAAUACUAAUAGCGUGUGUCGGCAUGCUCCUUAUGCUUCGGCAAUGAUUGAACUGGAUGGUUAUCCUCUUACAUUGGAAGGCUUUGGGUGAAGGCUCUUGUGAUGUUAUAAUAAGGAAUUCUGAAUGUUAUGACAAUGUCACUAGUCUGAAAGAUUUGGAAUUUUUUUAACAUCAUUUUAAAAAGUUUUCAAAUACAGACAUGGCAAUUUUGUUCCAAUAGGUUUUAAGUCUGUAUACGUACCUUGAGAAACUCAGAAGCAUCAGGUAGCCGCUGGAGCUCAUUCUAGUCGAAGCAGGCAAGUUGAAGCUGUACGUUUGAUGAAUGAGGAACUCAAUGAGACUGCUUCAACAAGUUCAGGUGCUACAGACACUGAUAUUAUUGACAAGGAAAUGAAGAAAGAAGGUAGUUCAAAGUGGAUGUCCAAAGGGAAAAGGAAGUUGAGAAUUAACAGCAGAAGCAAAAGCAAGAGUUUGAAAAAACUAUUGAGGAUAAAUCAAAUGGUUGUUUGACAGUUCCCUCAAUACUUUUGUCAAACUCCAUGCUUCUGCUUCUGCUGCUAAUUCUCAACUUCCUUUUUCCUUUAGACAUCCACUUUGAACAACCUACUUUCCAUCUCCUUGUCAAUAUCAGUGUCUGUAGCACCUGAGCUUGUUGAAGCAGUCUCGUUGAGUUCCUCAUUUAUCAAACAUUCAGCUUCAACUUGCCUGCUUCGACUUGAAUGAGCUCCGGCGGGUACCUGAGGCUUCUGAGUUGCACAAGGUAAGCCUAUUCUUGCAAAUUCUCUCACAUGGAAGAAUGAAAUCUUACCUUCUGCCAAGAUUGUGUUGAAUAUGAAACUGGGGACCCCCUCCCUCACAAAAUACCAGCUACAGUAUAGUGUAUGAAGCUCUUGUUUAAUGUGCAUGGUUUAGUACCUAUAGUGAAAGGCUAGUUCGAUGGCAAGAGCUGAAUAAUGUGCAUGGUUCGGAUAGCUGGACUCCAGGUAUGACUGAUUUCUCUGAUUGUUUAGCGACGCUAAAUUUGGUUGAUUUAAGAAGUAUUGGCUCAAGCUAAAUUUUUGCUGAAGGCUUUGUAGUAUCAUUGUCCUGCAGCUGUUCAAUUGGGGCUUCCUGAACUAAAAUGUCUGAAAACUGCUUACCUUGAAGCUCUUAAAGCUGAAGAAAUUUUCUUGAAACAAAAGUCUCUGGUUCAAUGGUUGGACAGUGGAGAUAAAAACAGUAGGUUCUUCUUCCAAGUUCCAAGCAUGCUAUGGUAAACGGAAUCCUAAGAGAAUUCUCUCUCGAAGAUGAUGCAGCUUUACCCUAUUCACAGAAAAAUCACCACUAGUUCUAUAGCAGCUGAGUAUUACACUCGUAUCUUCUCAAAUAGAAUCACUGAUUGCUCUAAUCUCUUCCUCUGAAAUUUGGGCAACUUUCUAAAACAUGGGAAAGCACAAAAGUCCAGGCCUUGAUGGCUUUACAGCAGAGUUAUCUCUAGCAGCUUGGUCUAUUAUCAACGCGGAUGUCAUCAAGGGUAUUUUGCAUUUCUUUCAGAAUAGCUCUUCCUAGGAUGAUCAACGCGACUGGAAUGUUUUUAAUCAUAAAGCAACACAGUCCAACUUCCAUGGCGCAUUUCAGGCCUAUCUCUUGUUGCAAUACUUUAUGGAAAUGCAUUUCUGGAAUCAUUGCCAAUCCUUUUAUUGAAGAUUUUACCUUCAUUGAUCUCCCCGUGUCAAGCAGCUUUCUGCCUUUCUUCCCGGGACAAUUAAUGGGAUAUGCAGAGGAUAUCGCCACUUCAAGCAGCUGAGGCUUUGAGUUUAGCCAAAGAGAAGGUUAAACACAGGGUUUUCUAGCAUGAGAAAUUUCAAAUUAGAUAGUACUAAUUCAGUUGUGACUGUUUCUUCAAUUUUAUGAUGAAUGUAGUACUACAAUUUCUGAAAUGAUUAAUCUAGUGUCUUUAAUCUUC